This is a long non-coding RNA of Bufo bufo (common toad), 2187 nucleotides long. RefSeq lists it as uncharacterized. Lineage: Eukaryota; Metazoa; Chordata; Amphibia; Anura; Bufonidae. The transcript is spliced from 3 exons. The record is from RefSeq and is a predicted model, not a curated record.
AACCCCUUUAAGUCAGUAUUUACGCCACUGUAUCAAAUAUUAAUUUGUCACUUGCUGUCAUGCUUCUGAUAAUAUGGCAGUUUUCACUCGUGUGAUUUAUUUAUUUAGUUUAAAUUUGCAUUGGACAAGACUUUGAUACAUUGUGAUUACUGUUAUUGUUGUGAGGAUUGUUCUACUGCAGCAAAUACAAUGUACCUGUCACGGAGCGGUGUGGGAGGAUAACUCCACAGCGACCACAAGAGGGAAGGGAAAAGGUACUAGGCCUGGAAACUAGGGAAAGGGGGAAAGGUCACCACCUAGAGAAUUCCUAACCCGAGCCCUGACUACAAUAAGUAUGAACAGACCUUGUUGGUAGGAAUGUUCAUACGCUGGAACCUAGGGCCCUAUAUGACCCUAAGGGGCCCUGGAAAGAGAUGACCUAUUCUUUCCGGGCUGAAGGAACAGGAGACUCCGUCAGGCCUAAUACCGAAAGGUAGGGGAGAACCACAAACAAGAAAUAGGGAAAAGACACUUAACUCCAAAAUAUACAGAAAGGCAGGAACUCGGAGGAGAACCAGACACCAGCUCUUCACAACCAAAAGGAGCUAUCAACCGCAUAGCAUGAUGGGUGAGGCCAGACUAAAUAGAGGAGUAGGAAUUGUUGUGGUAAACCACUCCGAAAACGCAUUCUUCAGGAAGAAUAAGGUUUAUUGCAGCUAGCCGAGAGCAUCAACAGCUUCAAUCGCACAAAGGAAAAUGCUCAAAGCGGGAGAAGCCCACACUCAUCUUAUACACAUAACCAUCCUAAACUUUACAUACUUGUCUUAUCCUCAUUGGAUAGGUUAAACUCUCUCUACAACUCCAUUGGACAUCUCCAUAUAUGGAUAAUGCGUGCUUGCUUCAUGUUCUUCUUUGCCAACAUCUGUUAUUCAUUACCAAUGCUUGCUUCAUCUACUCUAUAGCCCCUCACCCAAGUGAGUCUACCCCCCCACUUUAGGAAUGUGUACACACACAUAAGAUUUGGGGAUGUAGUGUCUGGUAUAAUCAGGUGGCAUUAUACUAUAUAUUUUUCAUUUUCUCCUUCAGAAUGACCACUUAAGCUACACCUGAGACCAGAGGUGUGGUCAUACCCAGCAACAACACAGAAGAGUGAAACCAGAGAGGCUGUCAGAUCACAUCACGUGCAGCCAGUCUCCUAGAUCUUCUGACCCCUGUCACAGGAGAGACCGUGACAGUACCACAGGACACGCAAUAAAACCAGAGCCAAAAGACUCUGGACACAAUCCAAAACAAAGAAGCUCACGGUCGGCACUGUACACACAUUACAUCCAGUGGUCAGGCUAUACAGACUGCGGUGGUACUCAAUGUUAAGACAAGUGCGCAAAUCGAUCCACAGUUAGAAAAUGUAAACAUGGUGCUCACCAUAAAAUGUAUUUUAUUUAAUCCACAGUGUAACAAAUAAAGCAGGAUGGGAUCAAGGGUUUGAGAAAGCGUCUGUGUAUGCGAAAUGGCCGUAGACCGUCUGCUCUCCAGAUUAUUUCCUCCUGUCCUGCUUUUUUGUACACUGUGGAUUAUAUAAAAGACUUCUUUAUGGUGAGUGCCAUGUUUUCAUUUUCUAACAGUGGGUAGACCUUUAUCAUUCGUAGUGCACGACUUUAUUUAAAAAAAAAAAGAAAAUUGUCAGAUGUUUUGGUGCAUGCCUUUUAUUGUGCAAAAUUCUGCUAAAGUUAAGCCCCAAUGCCAGGCUUUGCCACUUUUCGAAGUGGUAUAUUAUUAAGGACAAGUUUAGUGUUUAGAUAUCUUUUUAUAGCGCAUUUAUUAUAUGCGACUUUUGCAAAAGUCGCAAAAAAAAGUUGCAUCUCCACGCCAGGCAACCCUUUGUGGCACAACCACAUCACACCUGUGCCAAAUUUAUCAAAACCGAGCACCAUUUCAUAAAUGUGGUGGAGCAACACAAACCACAGACAGACCUAAAACUGACACCAAAAGCACAGCCAAUGAUAAAUUCUCACCUAAGUUCCUAACUAGGUGUAUAACAACAGGCAAACAAAAAAGAUAAAUAACCAGCACAUCUUUUGCCCUGAAAAAUAAGAAUCCGAAAUGUUAUAUAAGCUACUGGUUUCAUCAUAGAUUUUCUGUUAGAUUUCUGAACUUGUGGCACAGCAUCUCAAUGAAACUAUUUUUUAUUAUUUUUUGUCUUCGCUGUUA